RNAcentral lists this unclassified non-coding RNA (306 nucleotides) under plant metagenome. RNAcentral's name for it is "partial contains 5.8S ribosomal RNA, internal transcribed spacer 2, and large subunit ribosomal RNA". The stretch from base 1 to 105 matches the Rfam family "5.8S ribosomal RNA", at positions 50 to 154 of the family's 154-position model. The record is from RNAcentral.
GAAAUGCGAUAAGUAAUGUGAAUUGCAGAAUUCAGUGAAUCAUCGAAUCUUUGAACGCACAUUGCGCCCGCCAGUAUUCUGGCGGGCAUGCCUGUCCGAGCGUCAUUUCAACCAUCAAGCCCCCGGGCUUGUGUUGGGGACCUGCGGCUGCCCGCAGGCCCUGAAAACCAGUGGCGGGCUCGCUGUCACACCGAGCGUAGUAGCAAUCACCUCGCUCAGGGCGUGCUGCGGGUUCCGGCCGUUAAACAGCCUUACAAAACCCAAGGUUGACCUCGGAUCAGGGAGGAAGACCCGCUGAACUUAAGC